Long non-coding RNA from Megalobrama amblycephala (Wuchang bream), 1114 nucleotides. RefSeq lists it as uncharacterized. NCBI's taxonomy places the organism in Eukaryota, Metazoa, Chordata, Actinopteri, Cypriniformes, Xenocyprididae. The transcript has 3 exons. The record is from RefSeq and is a predicted model, not a curated record.
CUGCAGACUCACACAGCAUCUCUGAACAUCCUGACCUGAGCAACAGAGAAAAUGGUUUUCAAUUCACCUUUGAGGGUCCUUCUUCUCGGGAUUGUUUUGCUUUCCUGUUUUCAAAGUGUGGUGAAUCAAGUGGACAUGAACACCCUUUCCAAGAUCCAAAAAUAUUUUCAUAACAAUUAUUAUAACGGCUGCCAGUAUGCAGUAGCCAUCAAUGUCCCAAAGGUGCAGUGUCAAAGUGGAUUCAACCCCCAAAACAGACCCUUUCUGACACAUGACCCAUCAGGAACAGUUAAACCUCACAUACAACGUGACAGCAUGGAUGUCUACAGAGGCGCUGAACUCAUCGCUGCAGGGUUUCAUAAAGAUGCACAUUCAGAGGAUUUACUGAUGAAUCCUCCAAAUCAUUCUGCUUUGACAGACUUGAUGAAUAAACACAGUGAUGGAUGUGUGGUUUUCUACACCGCAAAUAGUCCCUGUAUAAACCGUUGUAUCAAUAGUAGAAACAGGAAGAAUAUUAUACAAGGUCUUAAUACAUUAAGGGCAUACCGGGGAAUUAAAGCCUUUGUUUUCUCAAAUAUCUACACAAAUGACCAAAAUAACCCAAACCUUAGAUCUGAACUACAGCAGAUUGCUGAUCGUGUGCCGCUUUACCGUUGUAACUAUGGUGGUUGUAUCCUUUGUGGACAACCAAACAUGAGAGUGAUAGAUCAAUGUUUAAUACCAUAGGUCUCACUUGCUCACUAACAUUAAGUUUCUUGUUUGACAGCGAUGCUUUAAAUGAAUCGAUGAGCUAGUUAUCUGCUGAGACUUUUGAAGAUACACUUCAGUGCUUAAAUAGCCUUUCACAUGCAGCUUUUUGCUUUCUCUUUCAAAUUGCACAAUAUUUACAAAUGAAUAAACUAAGACAGGGGAGGGUAAAUGUUGACCUUUCAUGAUUAUAAUCAUAUCAAAUUCUGCAAAAAUUGGAAAUUUGAAGGUCUUGAUAAAGGAAAAGUACCAAUAAAUUAAAGCUUUUGUAUUCAGAUACAUCUGCAUUUUGACCAGAUUUGUGAUUAAAAUGCUUGAUUGUUUAUGCUUAAAUGACAAAAUUUGUAAUGAUUUCAUUAACACUGCU